Long non-coding RNA from Gavialis gangeticus (Gharial), 538 nucleotides. RefSeq lists it as uncharacterized. NCBI's taxonomy places the organism in Eukaryota, Metazoa, Chordata, Crocodylia, Gavialidae. The transcript is spliced from 3 exons. The record is from RefSeq and is a predicted model, not a curated record.
GACAGUGCAGAAAGGGGCCAAGAGACUUCCUUGGCUAACCAGAGAAAUUCAGAGCAGUCUAAGGGCAAAAAGCGGGGCAUAUAAGCAGCAGAAACAGGGAGAGAUUACUAAAGAGGAGUAUGCCUCCUCAGCUUGCAGUUGUAGGGAGGCAGUUAGAAAGGCCAAAGCUACCAUGGAGCUUAGGAUGGCAUCCCAAGCUAAGGACAACAAAAAUUGUUUUUCAGAUCUAUAGGGAGUAAAAGAAAGGCCCAGGGUGGUAUAGGACCACUAUUGACUGGGCAAAAGCAAUUGGUGACAGACAAGGGGGGACAAGGCUGAACUCCUCAAUGUCUUCUUUGCCUCAGUGUUCCUAAAUGAGGGGCAAGACAAGUCUCAAAAUGGAAUCAGAGAGAGACAACAGCAGGAUGCCAGACCACCAAGCAUUGACCCUGAGAUAAAUGCAUCCAGUCCUUCUAAGUGACUCUGCACUAAGUUGGCAGGCCUGGAUGAGCUCCAUCCGAGGGUACUGAAGGCACUGGCUUAUGUCAUUGCACAGCCA